UCUGACACAACCACAAGGAGACACGAGGGGCGGGGAGGUGACUUCUGCGCGUUUGGGGAAAAGAGGAAAAGGGAGAAAGGGAGAAUGAAUGAAAUGAGUGACGAGGGAAGUAAAAUGAUAAGUUCGGAGAAAGGGAGGAAGGAGAGAUGAACUGCACACGAGAAAUACGGGGGGGAGGGGGAUGGGAAGGGGAAAGGGUAGAUGGGAAACAAGCAGCCGUAUGGGACGUGGCCAAAGGGCACUGUGGAAGGAAGGAGAAAGAGGAGCGAAGGCGAUUCCGAAGGGUUGGUAACUUGGCGCUCUAGGUCCUGCUCGAGCCGCCGUCUGUUGCCAGAUCGGUAGAAGUGGACUCGCCAGACGAGGAAAUUACUCGCGAGAUAAACUUAAUGCGUGAGGUUAGUGUCCGGGGAGGGGGGUAGGGGGGCCUGGAAGGGGAAAGGUCGAGAACUCUAAUUCUCCUGGUUUCCCACCUCUCCGUUCGUCGACUUCUCCCCUCCGGCCCUUCCUCCUUCGCAGACUAGACUCAUGGCACCAUUCUCAGAGAGCAGGACAGACAAGCUAAGUCACAUGUAAAGAAACUGUGAAUAUGAUUACCAGUGACCUGUAAAAAGACGCUCGAAAUUUUGCUGCUCACCUUAAAUUAUUCGAAUGAAUCUUGGUUCAUGUACCAUCCUUAAAACUUAUUAAAGGAUGGGUCAUUUUGCCAACUAAGGACUCAGAAGCACAUCAUGACAGAAAGCAACCAACGCCAGGAUGCCGGGAUGCUGGGAUCCUGAAGAGCACGGAGACUGAAGAGGUUGUGGACGCGAAGGGGGUGACGUCACUCGGAGUGUGUAUGAAGCCGUGCUAGUGACAGAACCGCGUGGCGUAAGGCGGACAGACGAAGUGGACUUUGGCCCGGCGUGAAGUGGCUGCGUUAGGGUGAGGCAGCGGUUCGCGAAAAGCCCAGAGAGAACAGACCGUGAGUUAAUCUUAGCAAAGGGUGAGAAGAAUAUUGACAACACUGACGUUUGCUGGAUUUCUGUCCUUUUCUUCUGUGUCGAGGUGUAGGUAGUACGCAGGGGCAUGGUUUGUGUAUGUAUGUGUAUAUCAAGAUUGUACAUAUAUCUUUCGUUAUAAAAUCCCUCUCUUAGUGAAGAAAGGAGGAAAGAAAAUCAAUCUCUCACUCUCCUCACGCCAUCUGUCGCUCCAUAAUUGUUUUAAUUGCAAGGCACGAUAGCAGAUGAUUGCCAAUCAUUAAGAGAAGGUGAAUUAAGAGGGACGGACCGAAAUUGCUCGAUUGAGAGAGAGAGAGAGAGAGAGAGAGAGAGAGAGAGAGAGAGAGAGAGAGAGAGAGAGAGAGAGAGAGAGAGAGAGAGAGAGA
Long non-coding RNA from Penaeus chinensis, 1363 nucleotides. RefSeq lists it as uncharacterized. The record is from RefSeq and is a predicted model, not a curated record. The transcript has 4 exons. Lineage: Eukaryota; Metazoa; Arthropoda; Malacostraca; Decapoda; Penaeidae.